GGCUCAAUAGCUCAGUGGUAGAGCAACAGUUUUGUAAACUGUAGGUCGGGGGUUCGAUCCCCUCUUGUGCCU
Molecule: transfer RNA, 72 nt
Filed under: Ecytonucleospora hepatopenaei
Lineage: Eukaryota; Fungi; Microsporidia; Enterocytozoonidae
Description: Enterocytozoon sp. ST-2009a tRNA
Rfam family: tRNA
About the family: Transfer RNA (tRNA) molecules are approximately 80 nucleotides in length. Their secondary structure includes four short double-helical elements and three loops (D, anti-codon, and T loops). Further hydrogen bonds mediate the characteristic L-shaped molecular structure. tRNAs have two regions of fundamental functional importance: the anti-codon, which is responsible for specific mRNA codon recognition, and the 3' end, to which the tRNAs corresponding amino acid is attached (by aminoacyl-tRNA synthetases). tRNAs cope with the degeneracy of the genetic code in two manners: having more than one tRNA (with a specific anti-codon) for a particular amino acid; and 'wobble' base-pairing, i.e. permitting non-standard base-pairing at the 3rd anti-codon position.
Source: Rfam by way of RNAcentral